This 188-nucleotide unclassified non-coding RNA is filed under the name Glomeromycota sp. RNAcentral's name for it is "partial contains 5.8S ribosomal RNA and internal transcribed spacer 2". The stretch from base 1 to 65 matches the Rfam family "5.8S ribosomal RNA", at positions 84 to 154 of the family's 154-position model. The record is from RNAcentral. Lineage: Eukaryota; Fungi; Glomeromycota.
GUGAAUCAUCAAAUUUUUGAACGCAAAUUGCACUCUCCUCGGAGAGUAUGCCUGUUUGAGGGUCAGCCAAAAAAAAAUUUUACAUUUUUUUUUUUUCUCUUUUACUUUUUUCGUAAAUUUUUUAAUUUUAAACCUUUUGGUUUUUAUUUUUUUUAAAUUUUUUUUUACGUUUCCCCGAACGUUUCUUA